Molecule: ribosomal RNA, 429 nt
Filed under: uncultured Rhodocyclaceae bacterium
Lineage: Bacteria; Pseudomonadati; Pseudomonadota; Betaproteobacteria; Rhodocyclales; Rhodocyclaceae
Description: bacterial SSU rRNA
Rfam family: Bacterial small subunit ribosomal RNA
Source: RNAcentral
AUGCAACGCGAAAACCUUACCUACCCUUGACAUGUCCGGAAUCCCGAAGAGAUUUGGGAGUGCUCGCAAGAGAACCGGAACACAGGUGCUGCAUGGCUGUCGUCAGCUCGUGUCGUGAGAUGUUGGGUUAAGUCCCGCAACCGAGCGCAACCCUUGUCAUUAGUUGCCAUCAUUUGGUUGGGCACUCUAAUGAGACUGCCGGUGACAAACCGGAGGAAGGUGGGGAUGACGUCAAGUCCUCAUGGCCCUUAUGGGUAGGGCUUCACACGUCAUACAAUGGUCGGUACAGAGGGUUGCCAACCCGCGAGGGGGAGCUAAUCCCACAAAGCCGAUCGUAGUCCGGAUCGCAGUCUGCAACUCGACUGCGUGAAGUCGGAAUCGCUAGUAAUCGUGGAUCAGCAUGUCACGGUGAAUACGUUCCCGGGUCUU